This 253-nucleotide ribosomal RNA is filed under the name uncultured bacterium. Its description in RNAcentral is "partial 16S ribosomal RNA". It matches the Rfam family "Bacterial small subunit ribosomal RNA", at positions 524 to 776 of the family's 1533-position model. The record is from RNAcentral.
CACGUAGGGCGCAAGCGUUGUCCGGAAUUAUUGGGCGUAAAGAGCUCGUAGGCGGUCUGUUGCGUCCGCUGUGAAAACUCGGGGCUUAACCCCGAGCCUGCAGUGGAUACGGGCAGACUAGAGGUAGGUAGGGGAGAAUGGAAUUCCCGGUGUAGCGGUGAAAUGCGCAGAUAUCGGGAGGAACACCGGUGGCGAAGGCGGUUCUCUGGGCCGAUACUGACGCUGAGGAGCGAAAGCGUGGGGAGCGAACAGG